Molecule: ribosomal RNA, 467 nt
Filed under: uncultured bacterium
Lineage: Bacteria
Description: partial 16S ribosomal RNA
Rfam family: Bacterial small subunit ribosomal RNA
Source: RNAcentral
GACGAACGCUGGCGGCGUGCUUAACACAUGCAAGUCGAACGGAAAGGCCUCUUUCGGGGGGUACUCGAGUGGCGAACGGGUGAGUAACACGUGAGUAACCUGCCCUUGACUUUGGGAUAACUUCAGGAAACUGGGGCUAAUACCGGAUAGGAGCUCCUGCUGCAUGGUGGGGGUUGGAAAGUUUCGGCGGUUGGGGAUGGACUCUCGGCUUAUCAGCUUGUUGGUGGGGUAGUGGCUUACCAAGGCUUUGACGGGUAGCCGGCCUGAGAGGGUGACCGGCCACAUUGGGACUGAGAUACGGCCCAGACUACGACGGGAGGCAGCAGUUGGGAAUAGUGCACAAUGGGUGGAAGCCUGAUGCAGCAAAGCCGUGUGCGGGAGGACGGCCUUCGGGUUGUAAACCGCUUUCGCUCAUGACGAAGCUUUGUGUGACGGUAGUGGGUAAAGAAGCACCGGCUAACUACGUG